GUUCACAGGGUUGAUGAGUUGAAUAACUCGGUAAUGAUCCCUCCGCAGGCCCCCCCUACGGAAAAUUACCGAGUUAUUCAACUCACAACCCUGUGAACAUACCUAACGUUGCUUCGGCGGGAAUAGACAGCCCGUGAAACGGGGCGCCCCCCGAAGGAACCUUAAACUCUUUUUUUAUAAGGUUUUCUCCUGAGUAAAACAGCAAAUAAUCAAACUUUCACAACGGACUUGGGCUCUGCAUCGAUAGAAGCACGAUGCGAUAGUAAUGUGAAUUGCAGAAAUCACUGAAUCAUGAACUUGAACGCAAUGGCCGCCGGUAUUCUGCGGCAUGCUGUUCGAGCGUCAUUCACCUUAGCCCGGCUGGGAUGGGAUCGGCGGAGCGCUUUUGCACAGCGUCCCAAUACAGUAGCGUCCCCCCCUUCUCUCUUAUAUACAUAUAGUCGCGGAGAGCGCCCGCCCCCAUAAACACACACUCUGUGUGUAUACAUGAGGAGAGAACACCUCCAUACAGUCCGCCAGAGAAAU
Molecule: ribosomal RNA, 525 nt
Filed under: Fusarium solani
Lineage: Eukaryota; Fungi; Ascomycota; Sordariomycetes; Hypocreales; Nectriaceae
Description: eukaryotic LSU rRNA
Rfam family: 5.8S ribosomal RNA (bases 212-345)
Source: RNAcentral